CAUCAGUGACUAAAACAGAAAUCCUUGUAAACUUAAUAAACGAGUUAAAAAUGUGUGUUAGUGAUUUAUGCUAAAAAGAAGAAUGCAGAAGAGGAGGAAAAUAGGAAGUGGAAAGACAGCAAUUUUAUGUGGUCAGAAGAGUCCCAACAGCAAAGGAGACACGAGAGUAAAGACCUGAAGUAUGAUGUGCAUGUAAGAGAAGAGCAUUCAGGCAGAGGAAAGAGCAAGUAUGAAGACUCUAGGUGGGAGUGGACCUCAUGUGGGAUGUCAUCGGCUGGGAUCAGAGUGACCAAGAGGGAAAGGAGUAGCAGAUGAUGUCAUAGAGGUGAGAGGUGAGGAGUCAUAAGGGAGCAUGAGGAAGAACAGGCAGAUGGAGCGACAAUGCAGCAGUGAGAGCAUGCAGAUUUUGGAAAUACUCUGAAGAUAGAAAUUAUUGAAUUUAUUGAAAGAUUGACCACCAGGAGAAAAAGAGGAGCAAGCAGAACUCAAAGGUCUAUGACUUGAAUGAUUGGAAAGAAGGAGCUUCCAUUAGUUGAAAUGGAAAAAGCUAGAAAAGAAACAGGAAACAGUGUCAGGCAUUCUGCUUUGAACAUGUACAGUUAAGAUUA
Long non-coding RNA from Herpailurus yagouaroundi (jaguarundi), 608 nucleotides. RefSeq lists it as uncharacterized. The transcript is spliced from 2 exons. Lineage: Eukaryota; Metazoa; Chordata; Mammalia; Carnivora; Felidae. The record is from RefSeq and is a predicted model, not a curated record.